Molecule: non-coding RNA, 58 nt
Organism: Salmo salar (Atlantic salmon)
Lineage: Eukaryota; Metazoa; Chordata; Actinopteri; Salmoniformes; Salmonidae
Source: Rfam
UAGCUCAGUUGGUAGAACAUGGUGUUUGCAACGCCAGGGUUGUGGGUUCGAUUCCCAC